AACGAACGCUGGCGGCAUGCCUAACACAUGCAAGUCGAACGGGAUCCUGACUUCGGUUGGGUGAGAGUGGCGGACGGGUGAGUAACGCGUGGGAACCUGCCCAGUGGUGGGGGGAUAACUGCGGGAAACUGCAGCUAAUACCGCAUGAGCCCGAGAGGGGAAAGAUUUAUCGCCAUUGGAGGGGCCCGCGUUCGAUUAGGUAGUUGGUGAGGUAACGGCUCACCAAGCCUUCGAUCGAUAGCUGGUCUGAGAGGAUGAUCAGCCACACUGGGACUGAGAUACGGCCCAGACUCCUACGGGAGGCAGCAGUGGGGAAUAUUGGACAAUGGGGGGCAACCCUGAUCCAGCAAUGCCGCGUGAGUGAUGAAGGCCUCGGUU
Molecule: ribosomal RNA, 378 nt
Filed under: uncultured bacterium
Lineage: Bacteria
Description: bacterial SSU rRNA
Rfam family: Bacterial small subunit ribosomal RNA
Source: RNAcentral